GGGGAGAGGGGGGAGGGGGGCUGGGAGCUGGGGAAGGGUAGGUGAAAGUGAACGUUGGGAGAGGAAGAGAGAGCUACUGGAGUGAGAGAGAAAGCAGCGAACUGGAAAGAGAGUGACUUGUGUUAUAACAUGCAUUAACUACCUGCUUCUAUGAAAAUAUUAAAUAAAGCACUACAAAUUAUUGUGAAUUUUCUUUCAUCACAUCGUUUCAGUCCUCGCAGAAUAUCAAAAGUAAAAAUAACAAAUCGAUUCUGGUAAAGUUGAAGUAGCAUGAUUACAAUUUUUAAUGCAUAAAAAUAGAAAUUCUCCUCAGAUGAAUGCAGGAGAACCACAUAAAGCGGACUCAGUGCUUAAAGCAAAAUAGUUGCACUCAUUCACCGAAUAUAUAUAGUGAUUAGAACUCGAAGCUCCACAUUGCACAAUGCUACUACCAAUCUUACAUCGUCCAAGGGGCCAAGAACCAAGAAUAUAUUAUCUAUCAAGGCCUGCAGAAAUUAAGAAAUUAUAGGAAAAACAUGUACAUCUGAAUUUAUUACUUGGUGCAAGCACAAUAUAAUUAUAGUGAGGCUAUAAACUACUCAACAAAAUAAAGAAAUAUAGAUCCUAUUUAAAUAUCGAACAACUCUUUGUUCAGAUACAGAUGUAACUGAAAAUAAUGGUAGAGGAGGACGUAGCCCCUCAAAUAUGUUUGUGAAGGGGAUGAGAUGAUAGAGAUCUGAAGCCAACUUUGGCAGGUUAAUACGAUUAGUUCAUCCAUGAUAUGGUCCUAAUGACGAUACUACAUGUACUUCGUGUGUAUUUCACAAACAAAUUUAGAAAACCUCGUGAAUCGAGUUACUUUAUUUAAUGUUAGAAGCAGUUAUACCGUGGCUAGUUGAUGUGCAUAUCAGUUUCUUGGUGCUAUUUGUAGCUAACAAAACUUUACCUUUCUGAUUAAAACAAAUAAGAGGAGAAAAUAUGGUCAAAGUUUAAAUUAGAGAUUCAAAAACCAUGGACUCAUAUCUGCUGUAGAUCGACCAGAAAAUAUACUUGCCUAAAGAAGGAUCAGGAUUGUUUUGCAAAACCACAUCAUAAAAGUUACAAAAUAUACCUUAAUUUUGAAAAUAUUUUAUAGGCCACAUUUCCCUAAUGUAUGGUUUUAAUAAACUCUAAGAAGAAAAAAUGUAAGGAAAAAAAGUACUUUUUAUUCUUUACAUCAACAAAAGGAAUGCAAUUGAAUUUUUAGUUUGAUAGUUUGAAAUACUUUUCAGUAGCACUUGUAAAUAUUAAUUCUAAUAAGCAUUCAUUUUACGUUUGUGCAGAAUUCAAUUGCAUGGUUAACAAACAUGCACCAGUAACCAUCAUGGCCAUGGUUAAGUAGGCUUUGACACGAGAAAGUAUGUAAGAAUCUAGGAAAAUGUGUUAAAGAACCACAAUUAUAAGGUUAAGAGAAUUAUAUAUGCAUAAUAGUAAAUGAGCUUAGUUAUCAAUGUCAAAGGACACAGUUCAAUAGCGAGAGCCACUUACUUGAAAGUUGAGAUGCUUUCCAAACCACCCCAACAAGACUUGGUGAGUCUCUUCAACAGAUUCUACAAUCACUUCAUCUUCAUAAUGUACCUCAUAAGGCAGCCACGUGCACCCCGUGGCAAAAUCUUCGCAAAUGCAUCAACCUACAUGAGAACUUCAUAAACGUCUCAUUUUUUCUCAUUAACAAUGAUACAUAAUGGUAGUGCACUUCAAAUCUUAUUUAAAAAAAUUUUAAAAUCAGUAAUCAUUGAAAAUCAUGUAUCAUAUAGCUAGACGACACCUCUUAGUCAAUGACAUCAUACUAGCAGAAGUAACUUCAUUGCUCGCAAUGAUACACAGUAAUUCCUACAUCAAUUUUACACCUUAAAUUUCUCAUUACUUCUAGUACAUUAACUUUUUACAGUACUGUGCCUCUUACCAGCAUAAAGCAUAGGAACAAUACACAACUGGAUUGUAUUAUUAAAAAAACGUAUCUUGUCUUGAGCCAUUGGAUUCCUUUCCUGUUUACGGAAACAUGAUGCAUGUAAAAGCAUAUGCCAAAACAUUGAUCCUCAUCAUGUAUGGCACUUUUUAUGGAUGAAAUUCUCUCCUUCGUUUCUCUGCAAUUAAAAGCAACAGUUGUUUGUCAGAUACAUGUCAAAAUGUAAAAGGAUCACCCCUAAGAAAAGAUAUACCUAAUGCCACAAGGUUAUGGAGGAGUCACAAAAGGUAGGGAUCAGAACCCAUUAAUAAAGCAUUAGUUAACUGUGGUAUUGAAAAACAUAAUGUGAUUUAUAUUUAGGGGCAUAUUGUAAUAAGAAAAUAAGAAAUAACUUACUAACAACUAUGUUAAACCUGAAUUUCCUCAUAAAUUUCACUUCUUCUUCGCAUAUCUGAUGUUUGGUGAUACAAAAGUUUGUUGUUGGCAGAAAACACUGCCUAAUUACAGUUACCAUCUCACAGCAUACCCGUAACUACCAUUAAUUAUACAUCACUUAUAUGUACAAAAGGGGAAAAAAAGAAUGCAUAGAAUAAUAAGACCAUAACUAAAGUAAACCAAUAUUGCGAUACUGAUUCUUACAAAGAUACAAUUGUUAUCGAAAUUGCUACCUUAAGCACAUGAAUGAACAGAACCAAUCUUCAAAAGUAGAAUCUUUUUUGGACACAACAUUCCUAGAGUUGGAUUAGAACUUGGUAUGUCAUCAUAUAAUAUUCAAACAGUAGAGUUAGGUUACAACUUCUUUAUCAAAUUAUAGAGUUAGACUAAAACUUGGAUAACAAAGAAAACAAGAGAAAAUCUUCUAAUAUUCAUUAAAUUUGACUUGAGAUGAAUAAGACAAGACAUCGCAAGUACAACUACAAUAGGUUCUAAAGCAACUAUUUCUAGGCUGGCACAUAAUGAGACUGCUUCUAAUUGUGCAACUACUGGAAAAGAACUAUAGCAGGCCAUGACUGAAGGUGCAAAUUUUAAAGGGUUUACUGCUGACUUGCAUGAUAAACGAAAUGCUAGUGAAAUCCAACAAAUUCACAACAGAGUUCGUGAAGUCACUGGGAAGACUACUGGACAUGUUAUGGGUAGAAUUCUUUUUUUUUUCAAAUUUUAUUCACAUCUUAGAUCUAUAAAUUGACUCAUCUCCAUAAAGGAGCCGAAUGAAACCAAAGUUUCAUGUUCGGUUUUGAAUUAGCAACGUUAAAAAUAAUGAAUCGACGUCGACUAUAACCCCUAGCCUUCCAAGCUAACGAUGCGGGNNNNNNNNNNNNNNNNNNNNNNNNNNNNNNNNNNNNNNNNNNNNNNNNNNNNNNNNNNNNNNNNNNNNNNNNNNNNNNNNNNNNNNNNNNNNNNNNNNNNNNNNNNNNNNNNNNNNNAAGUUUAAUGUAUUCAUUAAAUCAAAUUUAGUUUAUUAGUAUUAGUGGCUAGAGAUUGGUCAAUAGAGUCACCUAGUAAAAAAGCUGCUACAACUCAUACAAAACAAGAAAAUACAGCAGAAAACAUUAUAUUGCAUAUCAGAAUAACACACAAGACAGCGAACAUCGAACAUCGAUAGCAAAUAUGAAAUCUCAUGGUUUCUAACACAAAAUCAAUACCUAACAAAUAAAUCCCCCAAUUUCACAAACUAAAAAUCACAAAAUAUAUUGCAUAAUACAAACAAAGCAGAAGCAAAAUAAUGGGUUUAUCAGAAAUAUAAUCAAAGAAAGAAAAUAGAACGAGCAAUGACAUAAUUUUUCAGACUAGGGAAGAAGAAAGCAAAAUCGAAAGUAACAACAAACGUCGAACGGGUAAAAACCGGAAAGCCUACCUCAGAGAUUAUGGUAUGUUAGCUGAUAAUGGUCGUCCUUCACCGGAAAUAAUUGUCCUUCAUCAAAGCUGGUCGACAGAGUUCGCUGGUGUGUUCUAGGUUGAUGAACAGAGAGAGGGGUGUUUGAGAUUUGGGAGAAUCACUAUCUGAAAGUGAAGUCGAUGUCUUCUAGGUUAGUUUUGUCACAACCUAGUCUGAGAGCGAAGUCGAUGAACAGAGAGGGAAGUUUGAGAUUUUGGGGGAAUCGCUAAAUGUGUUUUAGAGUUAUUAAAAUAUUAGUGGAAGUCCAUUAUUUUUGUUUUUCAAUAAAAUACCUAGGAGGGAAACUAAUGAGGGAAAAUUAAACCGUCCCAAUAGCUUUUUAUUUCAUAAAACCAUUCCUAC
RNAcentral lists this long non-coding RNA (4166 nucleotides) under Nicotiana benthamiana. The record is from RNAcentral. Lineage: Eukaryota; Viridiplantae; Streptophyta; Magnoliopsida; Solanales; Solanaceae.